UUGAUUUGAGGAAUGUUAAGGCAUGAGUUAAGUUUUUGAGUUUUGUUUGAGUUUGCUGAAAUUAGAAAUCAAAGGGGUGGAUUUUGGGUGUGAUUGUGUUUUGAUCUUGAUAUUUGUGUUUAUGGGUUGUUAGAUGGUUCAUUUGAGGUUUCAAUUCAGUUUUGGGGUUGAGAUAUGUGUUUGGGCUGGUUUAGAGGUGUUUUGGAUGAGGGAAUUGAAGGAGAAAAACCCAGAAAAUCUGGGUUCGCGGAGGAGCGCCGCCGCCCUGUUCUUGGGCACCGCGGCGCGAGGUUGUUUCCAGUCAGGGGAACUUUCUGACUUCUCUGGGCGCCGCGGCGCUACGCCUUUUCCAGGAUAUGAAAAUUUACAAUUUUGAGCUUUUGCUCCGGGGGUUCGGGGGAUGUUUCCGAUGAAUUGUUUUAGGAAUUUGGGAGUCCCGAGAGUGUGGGAUUGGUCCCGGGAAGUGGUUUUUGAAUUGAUUAGUAUUAAAGGAUGUUUUAUACGUGUUGUGACUAGGUCUUUGGGAAGCUCGGGUUAGAGGACCGUGCUCGCGGCUUUAGUGCAUCAGGAAGCUCGAAAUACAGGUAAGAAAACUGUAGCACCCGAGAAUAGGGCAUGGGCCCAUAGUGUUAUUACAGGGCGUGGCCCUAGAUUGUAUUAUGUGCUAAUGUAUAACCUUAAAUGAAUUAUUAUGUGUUUGAAUGAUUAUUUCGAAAUGUAUUAUAUGUGUGAUUAUAGUACAAUGAACGGCUAAGGCCGAGAGCGGCAAGGCUGAGAACGGCGAUGGAGCCGAGAACGGCGAAAGGCCGAGAACGGCAGUGAGGCCGGAAGUAACACUUAGCACAUGGGAUGCUUAUAGUCAGGGUAGGACCCAAUGGAUACAUGAGAUAUCCUUACGGUGAGAACCGAGACCCCAGGCUUUGGUAAGGCUUCUGGGGCAGCAUGGCCGUGCUUGCUUAGUCUGAUGGAUGAUCUGUUUAUCUGUGGACUAUCUGAUAUGUUAACUGUAUAAUUUUCAUAUGUUAUGAACUGUAUGAGUUUUCUUGCUGGGCUUCGGCUCACGGGUGCUCUGUGUUGCAGGAAAGGGCAAGGGUUGAGUCAACCAGCCAUGAGUACGGAGAGCAUGAAGCGACGCGUACAUGUUUGGCCUGCCCGACUGCUUUGGUUGGGGGUUUAUUCGAGAAAUGGCUGUAAUAAUCUAUGAUUUUUAUAACUAAUCAACUGUAAGCUUAUUUUAAGAUGUAAAUAGUUUUCAAACCUUAUUUUGGGAUCCCAAAUGUUUAAUACUAUAAGUUUUUAAUGAAACAACGCAUUUUCAAAGAUUACAGCCUUAACUUUUACUUAAUCACACUUUGGUUCUAAAAACCUCGGUUAGCGAGUUCCUUGCACAAAGUUUCUUUUAAAACUCACUUAGUAACGACUCUAAGGGAGUAGGGCGUUACAGAAUGGAGGAGAGGUGGACAAUGAAAGAGCGAAGUCAAAACCUUUUGGGUCGAUUACUUCUUCUGAUUGGGCAAUUCUAUGCGAUUUUUGGGCUUCUGAUUCUCAGCAGCGUAUAUCGAAGAAAAAUAAAGAAGCUCGAGCAAAAAUGACCAUACCAGAACGACACGGUUCCAAAUCCAUCGUUGCCCAUGUUUAUGAUCACAUGGACCCAUCUACUGGCGAGCUCCCGAGCAUGAUCGACACAUUCGAGCACCUCCACAAGAAGAAGGAUAAGUGGAUUAGUGAUGUAGCAGCGACAAAACAUACUGAGAUGACCGAGCGUCGAGCAUCGUAGAGUACGGCCCCUGUAUCAUCUGCUGCUUCUUGUGUCGGCGAUAAUGUCGACGGUCAGUUCCCGCCUGAUAUGGAUAUUGUCACGGUCGUCCUUGGACCCCGCUCGCGUUAUAAGAAAGGGUUUGGGGGGUUGCCUAGGUUGAAGGCAAUUGGCGCAAAGAGGGCAGCAUCUUCGUCAACUUCUCAAAUGUCCGGGCAAUUGCCACCUGAAGUGGACACCAUUUUGCAGCAAAAUUAGGACAUUAUGCUAGAAAAUCUGAACCUAAAAAAGCAUACGACUAAACUUGAGAGUCGUCAACGGCGCAAGAUCUCCUGCUCAGUGCUUUGUUGAAGCAGGUUGGUGAAAUGGCUCCUGGUUUUACUGUUGACUUACCAGAACAGGAUUCGGACGAUGACGAUGAUGCUGACG
Long non-coding RNA from Humulus lupulus (European hop), 2185 nucleotides. RefSeq lists it as uncharacterized. Lineage: Eukaryota; Viridiplantae; Streptophyta; Magnoliopsida; Rosales; Cannabaceae. The record is from RefSeq and is a predicted model, not a curated record. The transcript has 4 exons.